Molecule: ribosomal RNA, 253 nt
Filed under: uncultured bacterium
Lineage: Bacteria
Description: partial 16S ribosomal RNA
Rfam family: Bacterial small subunit ribosomal RNA
Source: RNAcentral
UACGUAGGGGGCAAGCGUUAUCCGGAUUUACUGGGUGUAAAGGGGGCGCAGACGGCGAUGCAAGCCAGGAGUGAAAGCCCGGGGCCCAACCCCGGGACUGCUCUUGGAACUGCGUGGCUGGAGUGCAGGAGGGGCAGGCGGAAUUCCUGGUGUAGCGGUGAAAUGCGUAGAUAUCAGGAGGAACACCGGCGGCGAAGGCGGCCUGCUGGACCGUGACUGACGUUGAGGCUCGAGAGCGUGGGGAGCAAACAGG